GGGUGAGUAACGCGUAUGCAACCUGGCUGAUACAGGGGUAUAGCCCAUGGAAACGUGGAUUAAUCCCCCAUACCAUUAAUAUGUGGCAUCUUAUAUUAAUGAAAUCUUCGGAGGUAUCAGAUGGGCAUGCGUCCUAUUAGCUAGUUGGCGGGGUAACGGCCCACCAAGGCGAUGAUAGGUAGGGGUUCUGAGAGGAAGGUCCCCCACAUUGGAACUGAGACACGGUCCAAACUCCUACGGGAGGCAGCAGUGAGGAAUAUUGGUCAAUGGCCGGAAGGCUGAACCAGCCAAGUCGCGUGAGGGACGACUGCCCUAUGGGUUGUAAACCUCUUUUAUAAGGGAAGAAUAAAUGCUACGUGUAGCAUGAUGCCUGUACCUUAUGAAUAAGCAUCGGCUAACUCCGUGCCAGCAGCCGCGGUAAUACGGAGGAUGCGAGCGUUAUCCGGAUUUAUUGGGUUUAAAGGGUGCGUAGGCGGUUUUUUAAGUUAGUGGUUAAACGUCGGGGCUUCACCUUGAUUUGCCAUUAAUACUGUAAGACUCGAGUUCAGACGAGGUAGGCGGAAUAAGUUAAGUAGCGGUGAAAUGCUUAGAUAUAACUUAGAACUCCGAUAGCGAAGGCAGCUUACCAGACUGCGACUGACGCUGAAGCACGAGAGCGUGGGUAGCGAACAGGAUUAGAUACCCUGGUAGUCCACGCCGUAAACGAU
RNAcentral lists this ribosomal RNA (707 nucleotides) under uncultured bacterium. RNAcentral's name for it is "bacterial SSU rRNA". It matches the Rfam family "Bacterial small subunit ribosomal RNA", at positions 104 to 810 of the family's 1533-position model. The record is from RNAcentral.